AUUGAACGCUGGCGGCAUGCCUUACACAUGCAAGUCGAACGGCAGCACGGGUGCUUGCACCUGGUGGCGAGUGGCGAACAGGUGAGUAAUACAUCGGAACAUGUCCUGUAGUGGGGGAUAGCCCGGCGAAAGCCGGAUUAAUACCGCAUACGAUCUACGGAUGAAAGCGGGGGACCUUCGGGCCUCGCGCUAUAGGGUUGGCCGAUGGCUGAUUAGCUAGUUGGUGGGGUAAAGGCCUACCAAGGCGACGAUCAGUAGCUGGUCUGAGAGGACGACCAGCCACACUGGGACUGAGACACGGCCCAGACUCCUACGGGAGGCAGCAGUGGGGAAUUUUGGACAAUGGGCGAAAGCCUGAUCCAGCAAUGCCGCGUGUGUGAAGAAGGCCUUCGGGUUGUAAAGCACUUUUGUCCGGAAAGAAAUCCUUGGCCCUAAUACGGUCGGGGGAUGACGGUACCGGAAGAAUAAGCACCGGCUAACUACGUG
This 486-nucleotide ribosomal RNA is filed under the name uncultured bacterium. RNAcentral's name for it is "partial 16S ribosomal RNA". It matches the Rfam family "Bacterial small subunit ribosomal RNA", at positions 30 to 507 of the family's 1533-position model. The record is from RNAcentral.